This is a small nuclear RNA of Artibeus jamaicensis (Jamaican fruit-eating bat), 104 nucleotides long. NCBI's taxonomy places the organism in Eukaryota, Metazoa, Chordata, Mammalia, Chiroptera, Phyllostomidae. The record is from RefSeq and is a predicted model, not a curated record.
UUGCUUCAGCAGCACAUAUACUAAAACUAGAAUGAUACAAAGAAGAUUAGCAUGGGCCCUGUGCAAGGAUUUUGUAAUUUUGCCCUGGGGUAAUAUACAGUGUA